CUGUUGGCACGUAGUUAGCCGGCGCUUUUUCUGCAGGUACCGUCACUUUCGCUUCUUCCCUGCUAAAAGAGGUUUACAACCCGAAGGCCGUCAUCCCUCACGCGGCGUUGCUGCAUCAGGCUUUCGCCCAUUGUGCAAUAUUCCCCACUGCUGCCUCCCGUAGGAGUCUGGGCCGUGUCUCAGUCCCAGUGAGGCCGGUCACCCUCUCAGGCCGGCUACCCGUCGACGCCUUGGUGAAACAUUACCUCACCAACAAGCUGAUAGGCCGCGAGCUCAUCCCUGACCGAAGUUCUUUCCAGCUACUGACCAUGCGAUCGCAGCUCGUAUCCGGUAUUAGACGCCGUUUCCAGCGCUUAUCCCAGAGUCAGGGGCAGAUUGCUCACGUGUUACUCACCCGUUCGCCACUGAUCCACAGAGCAAGCUCUGCUUCACCGUUCGACUUGCAUGUGUAAGCACGCGCCAGCGU
This 466-nucleotide ribosomal RNA is filed under the name Microbacterium imperiale. RNAcentral describes it as "partial 16S ribosomal RNA". Lineage: Bacteria; Bacillati; Actinomycetota; Actinomycetes; Micrococcales; Microbacteriaceae. The record is from RNAcentral.